Long non-coding RNA from Homo sapiens (human), 515 nucleotides. Ensembl annotates it as testis expressed transcript, Y-linked 14. Its record names the gene TTTY14. Lineage: Eukaryota; Metazoa; Chordata; Mammalia; Primates; Hominidae. The record is from Ensembl.
GGGGCGGGCCAAUGGCUGUGACGGAUAAGGGGUGUGGGGUGCGGGGACAAUGGGCCAGAGCUUCUCAUGCAGCCUGCACCAGCGCCGGGUCGGAGAGUCAGAGGCCACCCUGAGAUGGACCGAGAUCUUCAGUUGGGGAGGCGCCUCCGGUGAGCUUGCGGCCAGAUGCCCCCUCAGUAGUCCUCCGCAACAGGUGCCGCGCAGCCGAGUGGCGGGCUAGCAUACCGCCUGCCCGCAAUUCGGCCAGGCCUCGAGCCUGCUCCGCCUUCCCGCUGCGGUAGCGCCGCCGGGGAAACGCCGCCACGGGCUGCAUGGGCAGCGCUCGCGCCCCGCCGCUGAGCCGCCGGGGAGCCGUCCAGUCUUCGAAUCCCAGCUUGGUGGCAUGCAUGUUUAGUCCCAGCUACACAGCAGGGAGGCUGAGGCUGAAGGAAUACUUGAGCCCAGGAAUUCAAGACUAGCCUGCACAACAUAGUGAGACCCUGACUUUAAAAUAAAUUUAAAAAAAUUAAAAGCAA